Molecule: ribosomal RNA, 173 nt
Filed under: Sabanejewia aurata
Lineage: Eukaryota; Metazoa; Chordata; Actinopteri; Cypriniformes; Cobitidae
Description: partial small subunit ribosomal RNA
Source: RNAcentral
CACCGCGGUUAUACGAGAGGCCCAAGUUGAUGGACGCGGCGUAAAGGGUGGUUAAGGUUUGUAUAAAAUAUAGCAGAAGGGCCUUUUGGCCGUCAUACGCCCCUAAGUGUCCGAACCCCCUACACGAAAGUAGCUUUAAAAUUAACCCACCUGACCCCACGAAAGCUGAGGAA